Molecule: long non-coding RNA, 2127 nt
Organism: Cannabis sativa
Lineage: Eukaryota; Viridiplantae; Streptophyta; Magnoliopsida; Rosales; Cannabaceae
Exons: 2
Source: RefSeq, a predicted model, not a curated record
CACAUUCCACUGUGUUGACGAUACUGUAAUUGUGAAUAAACAUAUGAUCUGGAUUUAACUGAUUUUGUGUGUAUGAAUGUAAUAAACAUAUUAAACAUAUUAAACCAUUAGCAUGUAAAAUUCAUGCAAACAUCAAUCACUUCAAAUUUCUUAUGUUGAUAACUAAUCAGAUUGUAAAGAGUUUUAUUUAGGGCAUAAAACCUAACACCUAUCGGGUUCCUUAAUGUGAACCCUGGAUGUAUUUUGACAGAUGUUGAUUUGAAAAAAUGGAGAGUUGCUUAUGACAUACCUUCAAAUGUGGAAAUGAGACUGCCUAAGUCUUAUGAGAGAGCCGACUGAGAUAUGAGAGAUUGGGUUUGUCUUUACAAAGCAGCUUUUGAUUAUGGAUUUCAGUUUCCUUUCACUCCUUUGGUGACUGAGAUACUCAGUCUUUAUGGAAUAUCUCCUGGGCAACUUAUGCCCAACGAUUGGAGGUUGCUCCUGAGCCUUGAGCAUUUUACUGAAAAGUUUGGUAUUAUAGUAGACCCCAUAAUUUUUAGGAAACGUUACUAUGCUAAAGAGCAUGAAAAAGAGAAGGGUAGAGUGCUAUUUGUUUGUCGCACUAGGAAAAAACCAUUUGUAACUUGUUUGACCAAGGCUGGCGAUUCAGAUUGGAAGAAAGCAUAUUGCUUCUUUAGAGGUGAUGGUUUAUUUGAUUCGAGGGUUGAGAAGAGUUUCACAUUCUCUUGGCAAAUAUUGAGUGAGUGUUGAAUUAUGUUUUAUUAUUGUGUUGGCUAUGUAUGUUUUAUUAAUGUCUUUUUGGCCCUUGGCGUGGAAACAGACUUCGGGGUUCAACCUAAUACGAACGAGUUUGUUGAUCGAAUUAUCGAGGAUAUUGAAUCUAUAAAAGAAAAGGACCGUAAUUUUAGGAAAUUUCUCCCCAAAAAUUUCCCGCAAAAAUCACAAGACGUUAUAGAAGAAGGUAUCCCUGAACUUCAAUCCCUUGAACACAUUCACAUCCUUCUUUUAACUCGAGAAUUUGAGACGUUUGGAAUUAAGUUUACUAUUUUGACUCACAUGACCGAAGAGCAACGCAUGUUUGCAGACAAGAUGUCCCAAAAGAGGACGAUCAAAUUUCCCAAAGCUAGUGAUGCCAUGGCUAGAGCCAAAUUGACAAUAGCUAAGAAGUCAAAGAUUGAAGGGUCCAAACAAGUUUCUAAGAGUAACUUCACUGAUGUUCCAAUGACUCCAUCUUCCCUUGGUACGUGCACUACAAUCAAGAGGAAUGCCGACUUUCUUGACCCAGAGGUUGUUGAUGAAACGAUUCUUCGAAUCCCUCACACUGUAUCGGUCUACUCUAACCCUUCGUGAAUUGAAGGGCAUGUGGAUGGAAUUCUCCAUCCUGCUGAUCGAGCACGAUUGAUUAAGCUUGGUCCAACUGGGGUUGCCAACAACGGAGUGGCUGAUGAUUACAAGAUUCUUCAAGCCAUGUUGUUCAUUCAAGAAAACUAUCCUGUGUUGGAGAAGAAGAACAAAAAAUUGACUGUUGAUAAUGCUAUCCUAAAAUUGGAGAAUGGAAAGUAGGUAGAAAUAGAGCGUGAACUUGAAGAAACCAUUAAAUCUUUGAAGGGUGAGCUUGAGGAGGUGAAGAAAGAGUUGAUUGAUGAGAAGAAAAGGACAGAGGACCUUGCCUGCGAGGCAGAACAAGUUGCAUUGACUGCUGUUAUCAAGACUCAUGGGGAACUAAUGAUCGAGUACUAGGACGGAAAUAAUGAAGAUUGGGAUGUGGCUGGUGAAAUUGAAACUUACCGUGCCCACAUGGGUUUGGAUGUUGAUGGUGAGAGGAUUGAACAACUUGAAUAUGCUUUUAUUGAGGAAGCAACUGCUGAGAUACUUGACCUUGGUACUACGAAUGAAUGUGAAGAACCCCAGGCAAAUGCUUAGUUUCAUUUUACAUUACGCUUAGUGGUUCAUGUGUCUUAACCUUUUAACUUUUUUUUUUUUUUGUUUUGAAUAUCGACAUUAACUCGAACAUGUCUCCUUUUGUGAUUUAUAGUUGUUUGUGGUGCCUAGCAAGGUUGAUGAUUUUUGGAGGAAGCAUUUACCACUUAUGUUCUAAAUGAGAGUUUAUGUUUCUUUUUUAUUUUA